UAGGGAAUCUUCGGCAAUGGAGGGAACCCUGACCGAGCAACGCCGCGUGAGUGAAGAAGGUUUUCGGAUCGUAAAGCUCUGUUGUUAAGGAAGAACGUGUGUGAGAGUGGAAAGUUCACACAGUGACGGUACUUAACCAGAAAGGGACGGCUAACUACGUGCCAGCAGCCGCGGUAAUACGUAGGUCCCGAGCGUUGUCCGGAUUUAUUGGGCGUAAAGCGAGCGCAGGCGGUUAGAUAAGUCUGAAGUGAAAGGCAGUGGCUCAACCAUUGUAGGCUUUGGAAACUGUUUAACUUGAGUGCAGAAGGGGAGAGUGGAAUUCCAUGUGUAGCGGUGAAAUGCGUAGAUAUAUGGAGGAACACCGGUGGCGAAAGCGGCUCUCUGGUCUGUAACUGACGCUGAGGCUCGAAAGCGUGGGGAGCGAACAGGAUUAGAUACCCUGGUAGUCCACGCCGUAAACGAUGAGUGCUAGGUGUUAGGUCCUUUCCGGGACUUAGUGCCGCAGCUAACGCAUUAAGCACUCCGCCUGGGGAGUACGACCGCAAGGUUG
This 550-nucleotide ribosomal RNA is filed under the name uncultured bacterium. RNAcentral's name for it is "bacterial SSU rRNA". It matches the Rfam family "Bacterial small subunit ribosomal RNA", at positions 355 to 896 of the family's 1533-position model. The record is from RNAcentral.